GAUCCUUAACGAAAAAUGCACGAUAACUAGAAAAUGAUGUGGAGGAGGUUGACGUGCAUAUACCGUGACGGUUGUUGCACGGCAAAUUCAACCAUUUUAUCUACCAUAGUUGCUAUCUGGUCCACGGAAUUGGACUCUAAAGCGGUUGCCAAAACAGUUUGUAUAUAUGCGGGCAACCUUCUCUAACAGCUUGAUGCGACCAACCUUCUGUUAGGAAAUGAUUUAUAUAUAAAAGAACUUUCUAUGAGGGUAACCGACUCCGCUCCAAAAGGGUGUUCUUAAAGAUGGAAACUGAAAAACCACAUUCUGUUACCCUUUGUCUCCUACGACGAACUAUCUUCCUACAAAGAAAUAUAUUUUUUCCAUUUCGCAGAACACG
This is a long non-coding RNA of Octopus sinensis (East Asian common octopus), 379 nucleotides long. RefSeq lists it as uncharacterized. The record is from RefSeq and is a predicted model, not a curated record. The transcript is spliced from 3 exons. Lineage: Eukaryota; Metazoa; Mollusca; Cephalopoda; Octopoda; Octopodidae.